Molecule: ribosomal RNA, 254 nt
Filed under: uncultured bacterium
Lineage: Bacteria
Description: partial 16S ribosomal RNA
Rfam family: Bacterial small subunit ribosomal RNA
Source: RNAcentral
UACGAAGGGGGCUAGCGUUGCUCGGAAUCACUGGGCGUAAAGCGCACGUAGGCGGACUUUUAAGUCAGGGGUGAAAUCCUGGAGCUCAACUCCAGAACUGCCUUUGAUACUGGAAGUCUUGAGUUCGAGAGAGGUGAGUGGAACUGCGAGUGUAGAGGUGAAAAUUCGUAGAUAUUCGCAAGAACACCAGUGGCGAAGGCGGCUCACUGGCUCGAUACUGACGCUGAGGUGCGAAAGCGUGGGGAGCAAACAGG